RNAcentral lists this long non-coding RNA (397 nucleotides) under Calidris pugnax (ruff). RNAcentral's name for it is "lncRNA (ENSCPUG00000008512.1)". The record is from RNAcentral. Lineage: Eukaryota; Metazoa; Chordata; Aves; Charadriiformes; Scolopacidae.
UGUCUGUUUUCUAAAGUAUCUUGGUAUCAGAGCAAAGCUACAGGAUUAUGAAAGGGUUUUAUGUUUGCUUUUAUUAUCAUUCUUAGGUGGGGAAUCCCAUCAAGGAUGGAUCACGUCACCAAAUACAGAUAAAUCCCAUGGAAAUGCAGCCCCUGCUCAUCACCCUGAUAAUCUACUGGAGAAAGUGAGCCACCGACCUGGGAUUCAUCUUUUUGGACAGCAGGUGAUGGAAAUCCAUAUCCAGCACCUCUGAGCACCCUGAGCUGCUCCCAUAGGAUACAGCCUGGACCAGCUCAUCCUUGGAAGGUCAGUGCUGGACUGAGGUAUUUGGGAGCCUGAUUAAUAACAACAUCCCUUCCUUCACUUAGAGGUGGGAACGAUUCACCUGCUCCCCCCG